GAUGAACGCUGGCUACAGGCUUAACACAUGCAAGUCGAGGGGAAACGGCAUUGAGUGCUUGCACUGAAUGGACGUCGACCGGCGCACGGGUGAGUAACGCGUAUCCAACCUUCCCGAUAGUGCGGGAUAACCUGCCGAAAGGCAGACUAAUACCGCAUGUUCUUCGAAGACGGCAUCAGAUUCGAAGCAAAGAUCCGUCGGUAACGGAGGGGGAUGCGUAUGAUUAGCUAGUUGGCGGGGCGACGGCCCACCAAGGCGACGAUCAGUAGGGGUUGUGAGAGGAAGGUCCCCCACGUUGGGACUGAGACACGGUCCAAACUCCUACGGGAGGCAGCAGUGAGGAAUAUUGGUCAAUGGGCGGAAGCCUGAACCAGCCAAGUAGCGUGCAGGUUGACGGCCCUACGGGUUGUAAACUGCUUUUAUGCGGG
This 428-nucleotide ribosomal RNA is filed under the name Prevotella sp. oral taxon G57. Its description in RNAcentral is "bacterial SSU rRNA". It matches the Rfam family "Bacterial small subunit ribosomal RNA", at positions 28 to 444 of the family's 1533-position model. Lineage: Bacteria; Pseudomonadati; Bacteroidota; Bacteroidia; Bacteroidales; Prevotellaceae. The record is from RNAcentral.